GACGAACGCUGGCGGCGUGCUUAACACAUGCAAGUCGAACGGAAAGGCCCUUCGGGGUACUCGAGUGGCGAACGGGUGAGUAACACGUGGGUGAUCUGCCCUGCACUUUGGGAUAAGCCUGGGAAACUGGGUCUAAUACCGAAUAGGACCACGCGCUUCAUGGUGUGUGGUGGAAAGCUUUUGCGGUGUGGGAUGGGCCCGCGGCCUAUCAGCUUGUUGGUGGGGUAAUGGCCUACCAAGGCGACGACGGGUAGCCGGCCUGAGAGGGUGACCGGCCACUCUGGGACUGAGAUACGGCCCAGACUCCUACGGGAGGCAGCAGUGGGGAAUAUUGCACAAUGGGCGCAAGCCUGAUGCAGCGACGCCGCGUGAGGGAUGACGGCCUUCGGGUUGUAAACCUCUUUCAAUAGGGACGAAGCGCAAGUGACGGUACCUAUAGAAGAAGCACCGGCCAACUACGUG
This 462-nucleotide ribosomal RNA is filed under the name uncultured bacterium. Its description in RNAcentral is "partial 16S ribosomal RNA". It matches the Rfam family "Bacterial small subunit ribosomal RNA", at positions 28 to 507 of the family's 1533-position model. The record is from RNAcentral.